This 382-nucleotide ribosomal RNA is filed under the name uncultured archaeon. Its description in RNAcentral is "bacterial SSU rRNA". It matches the Rfam family "Archaeal small subunit ribosomal RNA", at positions 345 to 727 of the family's 1478-position model. The record is from RNAcentral.
AACCUUUACAAUGCACGCAAGUGUGAUAAGGUAAUCCAAAGUGCUCACAAUUUUUUGUGGGCUUUUGCCAAGUGUAAAAAGCUUGGAGAAUAAGCGGUGGGCAAGACCGGUGCCAGCCGCCGCGGUAACACCGGCGCCGCAAGUGGCGAUCAUCAUUAUUGGGUCUAAAGCAUCCGUAGCAGACUAUGAAAGUCUUCUGUGAAAUCGUUGGGCUUAACUCAACGGCUUGCGGAAGAUACUACAUAGUUAGGGACCGGGAGGAGCUAGGAGUAUUCCUUGGGAAGCGGUAAAAUGCUUUAAUCCUUGGAGGACUACCAGUGGCGAAGGCGCCUAGCUAGAACGGGUCUGACUGUAAGGGAUGAAAGCCAGGGGAGCGAACUGG